RNAcentral lists this ribosomal RNA (144 nucleotides) under Klebsiella pneumoniae. Its description in RNAcentral is "partial 23S ribosomal RNA". It matches the Rfam family "Bacterial large subunit ribosomal RNA", at positions 1 to 134 of the family's 2925-position model. The record is from RNAcentral. Lineage: Bacteria; Pseudomonadati; Pseudomonadota; Gammaproteobacteria; Enterobacterales; Enterobacteriaceae. RNAcentral also lists the same sequence under 1 other name.
GGGUUGUGAGGUUAAGCGACUAAGCGUACACGGUGGAUGCCCUGGCAGUCAGAGGCGAUGAAGGACGUGCUAAUCUGCGAAAAGCGUCGGUAAGGUGAUAUGAACCGUUAUAGCCGGCGAUGUCCGAAUGGGGAAACCCAGUGC